UGAAGAUCACAAUCCAUUUUAUUCAUAUUAAAAUUAAUAACAAAUUGUGAAAAGGAUUCUGGUAGUGACUGCAAGAUCAAAUCUUGAGAAAGCUCUUUAUUAGUUUGCACCCCAACUUCUCAAGUUCUUCAAUAAGAUCAAUCAUAUGAUUGACAUAGGGUCCCAGCUGGUGAGUUUCCAGUCAAUUUGGAUCCAAAUAAAGCCUUAGAAAGUUGGUAUCUAGCUGUCCUGCUUUGUGUACUAAACAUCUUCUUAAGAUGUUCAAUAAUUGCAGUUGGAUCCAUAUCCUGAUGUUUCCUCUGCAGUUCAGAAUUCAUAGAAGCGAGAAUGAUGCAUUUGNNN
RNAcentral lists this long non-coding RNA (342 nucleotides) under Nicotiana benthamiana. Its description in RNAcentral is "long non-coding RNA (NBEN_LNC027701)". Lineage: Eukaryota; Viridiplantae; Streptophyta; Magnoliopsida; Solanales; Solanaceae. The record is from RNAcentral.